AUUGAACGCUGGCGGCAGGCCUAACACAUGCAAGUCGAGCGGAUGAAGGGAGCUUGCUCCUGGAUUCCGCGGCGGACGGGUGAGUAAUGCCUAGGAAUCUGCCUGGUAGUGGGGGAUAACGUCCGGAAACGGGCGCUAAUACCGCAUACGUCCUGAGGGAGAAAGUGGGGGAUCUUCGGACCUCACGCUAUCAGAUGAGCCUAGGUCGGAUUAGCUAGUUGGUGGGGUAAAGGCCUACCAAGGCGACGAUCCGUAACUGGUCUGAGAGGAUGAUCAGUCACACUGGAACUGAGACACGGUCCAGACUCCUACGGGAGGCAGCAGUGGGGAAUAUUGGGCAAUGGGCGAAAGCCUGACCCAGCCAUGCCGCGUGUGUGAAGAAGGUCUUCGGAUUGUAAAGCACUUUAAGUUGGGAUGAAGGGCGGUAAGUUAAUACCUUGCUGUUUUGACGGUACCAACUGAAUAAGCACCGGCUAACUUCGUG
Molecule: ribosomal RNA, 484 nt
Filed under: uncultured bacterium
Lineage: Bacteria
Description: partial 16S ribosomal RNA
Rfam family: Bacterial small subunit ribosomal RNA
Source: RNAcentral